AUCCGACGCCGGCAUGAGGAUAUACAGGAUCUGGCGGAGCAUGUGGGCAGGCUGGAAGCCGACACGGGCAUUAUGUUGGCAGCACAGUUUGACACGCUGCAAUGCCAGACUGGCAUACAAAUAUAUACUCUACUCUCCAAAUACAGGUCAAGCUGCCACCACCAGCUUAGUUCAGGAAUAACUUUUCUGCUCCUUAAUUGCAGAAUAUACUGUC
Non-coding RNA from Pelobates cultripes (western spadefoot toad), 214 nucleotides. Lineage: Eukaryota; Metazoa; Chordata; Amphibia; Anura; Pelobatidae. The record is from the annotation of a GenBank genome assembly.